RNAcentral lists this ribosomal RNA (269 nucleotides) under uncultured prokaryote. RNAcentral's name for it is "partial 16S ribosomal RNA". It matches the Rfam family "Bacterial small subunit ribosomal RNA", at positions 524 to 792 of the family's 1533-position model. The record is from RNAcentral.
UACGUAGGUGGCAAGCGUUGUCCGGAUUUACUGGGCGUAAAGGGAGCGUAGGCGGACUUUUAAGUGAGAUGUGAAAUACCCGGGCUCAACUUGGGUGCUGCAUUUCAAACUGGAAGUCUAGAGUGCAGGAGAGGAGAAUGGAAUUCCUAGUGUAGCGGUGAAAUGCGUAGAGAUUAGGAAGAACACCAGUGGCGAAGGCGAUUCUCUGGACUGUAACUGACGCUGAGGCUCGAAAGCGUGGGGAGCAAACAGGAUUAGAUACCCCGGUA